Molecule: transfer RNA, 72 nt
Filed under: Diaphorina citri (Asian citrus psyllid)
Lineage: Eukaryota; Metazoa; Arthropoda; Insecta; Hemiptera; Psyllidae
Rfam family: tRNA
About the family: Transfer RNA (tRNA) molecules are approximately 80 nucleotides in length. Their secondary structure includes four short double-helical elements and three loops (D, anti-codon, and T loops).
Source: Rfam by way of RNAcentral
GCUCCCAUGGCGUAGUGGUCACUGCACUUGCCUUGCACGCGGGAGACCCGGGUUCGAUUCCCGACGAGGUCA